AAGUCGUAACAAGGUUUCCGUAGGUGAACCUGCGGAAGGAUCAUUAACGAGUAAACAAGGGAGUUGUAGCUGGCCGCAAGGCAUGUGCACGCUCUCUACUCAAUCCAACCUUACACCUGUGCACCUAUUGUAGGUCGAGUGGCUGGACUUGUUCUGGCCUCUCUUCCUAUGUUUUACACAUACACUUGUAGUCUCAGAAUGUAAUCCGCGUAUAACGCAUUAUAAAACAACUUUCAACAACGGAUCUCUUGGCUCUC
This 257-nucleotide unclassified non-coding RNA is filed under the name air metagenome. RNAcentral's name for it is "partial contains small subunit ribosomal RNA, internal transcribed spacer 1, and 5.8S ribosomal RNA". The stretch from base 1 to 46 matches the Rfam family "Eukaryotic small subunit ribosomal RNA", at positions 1786 to 1831 of the family's 1831-position model. The record is from RNAcentral.